RNAcentral lists this long non-coding RNA (1138 nucleotides) under Capra hircus (goat). Its description in RNAcentral is "lncRNA (ENSCHIG00000001812.1)". Lineage: Eukaryota; Metazoa; Chordata; Mammalia; Artiodactyla; Bovidae. The record is from RNAcentral.
UUUGAAAUCAGUCUCAUGUGAACGGAGACCAAGAUCAGAGAGCCCACAGAAGACCUGGUUACUAUCCUUCAGUGUUUCUGCAGCAAAGGUUGCAGUCUUCUGCAAACCAUGUGAGCAGGCCUUUGAAGGAGAGCCCUCACUGUGCAGAAGAUGAAAAAAAAUCAGCCAUCCUUUGCCAAGUUAUCUGCAUUAUCAGUGAUAAGCCAGGAAUGAAGAUUUCACAGCUUUAUUUCAUCACAAUUCUAAAAAUAAGUCACAGUGAAAUGUAAGCUACUGAAAAACGCAUUAUGAGGCCACCCUCUCACGGCCAUGUGCUUUUAACCUGGAGACAAGGGAGGGAAACUGAAGGCAAAGAUGUCCAGGAUCUUGGGGCCGGAAAGGACCCAAAAGAUGAUUGGCCCCCAUUUCCUCAUUUAUUGAGACCUGGCCAUAAAGAUGCAUGUGACUUUCUGGUGUUAGAACUCAAAUUCCAAAAUUCUAGUUCUGAGUUCCAUCCACUUUGCCAGGUUCUCUCUUUCUUUGUGGGAAGCUUUGUAACAGAGGGACUCCCUGUGGAUCCACAGGACUGGACAACUGACUCUGCGUCUGCUCAGGGAAAGCCCUCCACGCCUCCCAGGUUUCAUCAGUGGAACGCUUUAAGGAACCAAAGGAUGAAAGACACUCUUGGAGACUCUGCUCUGAUCUGACCACUUUUAAUGUCUCUCUAAAGAACGUGGAAGCGCCCAGUGCCCAGAGAGUUUUCCCUAGUGUUAACUUGUCAUCAUACUGCUUUUUUCUCCUGGAUAUUCCAAACAGGACCCAUUUGGGGGUAUUUUUUCUUAGUUUAUAUAAUAACCUCCUGCACAAAAUAUGUUGUUAUUCCUUUUACCUACCACACAUGAGAGUCAAAUGAGAUAAACCUAAAUAUUUACCCAAAAAGCAUAAAAUUACUUCAGAAGUACAUUUGACUUUAACUUCAGCUCUUCGAAAACGCCAUGGGUUUGGGUAUAUGGAUGUUUUCUGAAUUUCUUGUUUAUCCAGCUGAUUAGUCUGAGGAUGUUUCUUAAAGUCUCCAUAAUUUCCUCAUUAUGCAAAAAUCAAGAUGACUUAUGGUCAGAGUUAUUGUGAACAUAAAUAAAAUAUGAAUGCUGUCAUUGAA